CCCUUCGAUGUUCUGGGCCGCACGCGUGCUACACUGAGUGGAUCAGCGGGUCAGGUUGCGCGAAAGUGUUUCCUAAUCUUUAAAUCCGCUCGUGAUGGGGAUUGACGGUUGCAAUUUUCCGUCAUGAACGAGGAAUACCUUGUAAGCGCGGGUCAUCAUCCCGCGCUGAAUACGUCCCUGCCCUUUGUACACACCGCCCGUCGCUCCUACCGAUUGAGUGGUCCGGUGAGGCUUUGGGAUCUGAGCGGAAAGAGCGUUUCGCUGUUUCUGCCCGGAAAACUCAGUCGAACCUUAUCAUUGAGAGGAAGGAGAAGUCGUAACA
This 322-nucleotide ribosomal RNA is filed under the name uncultured eukaryote. RNAcentral describes it as "partial 18S ribosomal RNA". It matches the Rfam family "Eukaryotic small subunit ribosomal RNA", at positions 1470 to 1796 of the family's 1831-position model. The record is from RNAcentral.